GCCUAGCUGGCUUAGUUGUAGGAUCAUGAGACUCUUGAUCUCGGGGUUGUGAGUUCGAGCCCCACGUUGGGUG
RNAcentral lists this transfer RNA (73 nucleotides) under Canis lupus familiaris (dog). It matches the Rfam family "tRNA". From Rfam's summary of the family: Transfer RNA (tRNA) molecules are approximately 80 nucleotides in length. Their secondary structure includes four short double-helical elements and three loops (D, anti-codon, and T loops). Lineage: Eukaryota; Metazoa; Chordata; Mammalia; Carnivora; Canidae. The record is from Rfam by way of RNAcentral. RNAcentral also lists the same sequence under 1 other name.